UUUUCCUCCACCAUCCUCAUGGGGUUUUGUAAUUUUUGCUUUCCCCUUUGAAGCUGGGUUCUAAAUGGCAAAAAGAAAGGGAUUCAGAGAAGAUUGCAGCACAAGAACAAAAGAAAUUCCAGUUUCCAAUUCCUGUUGCUGCUAUCGAGAAUUUCCAUCAAAUAAUAAGAUUGGUGGAGUUGGCCACGGCCCUGUUUCAAAUCAAACCAUUUGCAUGAUGGACCUCUGAUUCUUGGUUGAGAUCGUGGUGUCGUUUGAAGGUCAAUAACCAAUACCAUGAAUAAGUCGGAAUUUUGAAGUCAAUUUUAUCCUUCACCAUGAUUUUUACUUAUUCAGGUUGCUGAAAUCUUAAAAGAUCGGCCCUAAUGAUUUCGUGCUUGCCAAGCUGUGGAUGUCCUUAAUGCGAUAUCUACUGGAAACGGUGGAACCAUUGAACUUCUUUAUAUGCAGCUCUAUGCCCUUACUACUGUGGCACCAACUCGUGACUUUUGGCUAUUACACUAUAUGCCUGUGAUGGAAUAUGGCAGUCUCGUUGUGUGUACCACAUGGUCUGUGAAAGAUCGCUGCACAACACUCAGAAUGGUCCCAGUAUGGUACCUGUUCAGCAUUUUGUAAGAGCUAAAAUACUGCCAGCGGAUACUUGAUCACACCUUGUGAAGGAGGUGGCUCCAUAAUCCAUACAGUUGACCACAUAGACUUAGAGCCAUGGAGUGUGCCUGAGGUGACCCGUCCACUAUCUCAGUUGUCAACAUUGCUUGCUCAGAAGACAACAAUGGCAACAGAUCUCGCAUGAAGUUUCUUAGCCUACUGUCACAGGAUGGGGGAGAAGACCUGCAGCAUUAUGAGCACUUAGCCAAUGAUUGAACAAGUAUUUCAAUGAGGCUGUAACUGGUUUCACAGAUGAGGGAUGGUCUGUGCUUGACAGUGAUGGCAUUGAUGAUGUUACUGUUCUUGUGAACUCUUCUCUCGGCAAAUUGAUGGGACUAAAGUUUCUGUCAGCAAUGUAGUGCCAUGUGCCAAGGCCUUAUGCUUUUACAGGUGAGUGAUUUAUUAAUUAAGGAACUUUUCAAAGGAAAGAAGUACAGAUUUAGGGGAGCGAGAAAACCUUCUAUCCAAAAUCUCAGGUGAAAGCAAUGAUCAUGGAGGUAGAAGUAGAUGAAGAAGAUGGAAGAUUAUGUGAUGGUGAUUUGGAUGGAGGCUUCGAUAUUAUUUUUACUAAAACUCUGGAGCAGCAAAUGGAAUUGUGCCCAACCGCUGGAUGUUAUUUUUCUGUUGGAAGCUUUGUGUUUCUUUUUUAUAGUUAUUUUGGAUUUUGU
Molecule: long non-coding RNA, 1316 nt
Organism: Coffea eugenioides
Lineage: Eukaryota; Viridiplantae; Streptophyta; Magnoliopsida; Gentianales; Rubiaceae
Exons: 12
Source: RefSeq, a predicted model, not a curated record